Molecule: long non-coding RNA, 1395 nt
Organism: Amphiprion ocellaris (clown anemonefish)
Lineage: Eukaryota; Metazoa; Chordata; Actinopteri; Pomacentridae
Exons: 2
Source: RefSeq, a predicted model, not a curated record
GGGAUGCGGGUGAAGCCGGACGCCAUCCUCCUGCAGACGGACGGACACCGGAAACCGCCACGCAGCGAGCUGUCGCCGCUGGAGCCGCCGCCGCUACAGCCGCUCCAUCCCGGAGGAGCCCGAACCGAGCCCCGGCGGAGGGCAGAAGAUACACAGUCUGACACCCUGCUAAGACACGCCCUGGACAUCUCCUCCCUCUUCCCCAUAGAAACCUGAAAACUGAACUCUUAACACCCUCAGGAUUUCUACCUGCACGUACAGACUUUAAACCAGCAUCUAAGUUCAUUCAGUUAUCCUACUGUCGAGCAUAUUUGCACUGCUUGGACUGUUGUUAGUCAUUUGCACUGUUUUGAAUAUUCUGCACCAUAUAUGUCACUUUAUCUCAUGGUCAUGUUUACAUUUCACUAACUUCUGCUUUUUGGUUUGUAGUUGUUGCUUAGUUUUGGUUCCUUUGUUCUUAGUUUAACUGAUCUCUGCUUUCUAGUUCCUAAUUUACUUAAAUUUUGCCUUUUUAAAUCUUGUUUUUUAUAUUAUAUUUCUAAAUGCAUAUAUGUGUGUGUGUGUGUGUGUGUGUGUGUAUUUAUUUAUUUAUCUCAGAACCUUUUAAAUAUUUAUUUAAUGUCUACUGGUACACAGAGAGGGUGACGUAAUUUUAAUCCUUGGUGUGUUGUGUGCAUAUUGAAGAAUUGACAAUAAAGCUAACUUUGACAUUAUUUUGAUUUCUUUAUAUAACUUUUAAAUGCAACACCAGACAUGUACUACUGUUGCUCUGCCUAAAUCCAAUUCUAGGUUGUCCUUUCUGCUCCAUAUUUUUAAAUUCAGUUGUGCGUACCAUAAUAUGAUGAUCUUAACUUUCCCGCACCAUAAACACCGCACAUGCUUUUUUUGUGCUGUUUUUCUGUACUCACCCUUUUUGCACUGUUCUUGUACUUUCAUAUUUGCUACCUCAGUAUGUUGGAGUAGGUGUGAGUGAUGAGUGUGUUCUGUGAAUAGGUUAAUAAUGGCCCUACUAUCACAGGCACUGAGAGCUUCUUCAUUGCUGCAUAUACCAGUGAAGUCUUUAAAUCCUUUGAAUCUUUGUUAGGUUAUUCAAAACAUCAGUCUUAUUUUUCUACUGGAGGCACUUUGCCUGUUGAUAUAUUUUUAACCUUUCUGUUUUGUAGUUGUCCAUGUAAAUUAGGAUAGAUUAGCUUUAUUUAGGAUUUCCAGCUUUUUGUGUGCAUAUGUGUUAUUUGUGUUUGCUUACUUUUUUUCUUUAACAUCUGGCCUGCAGCUACAGAUGAAUAUUAGCCUGUGGCUAACUGUGUUGCAUUUACAGGAAUGUUUUAUUAAUGUACACUGGCCCUGUUUGAAAUUAGUUUCUAAAUAAACACUAUGUUAGUAUUGAUGACUUAA